UUAAAAUAGAGAGUUUGAUCCUGGCUCAGGAUGAACGCUGGCGGCGUGCCUAACACAUGCAAGUCGAACGAAGCGUCCCGCCCGAAG
RNAcentral lists this ribosomal RNA (87 nucleotides) under Lachnospiraceae bacterium. Its description in RNAcentral is "partial 16S ribosomal RNA". It matches the Rfam family "Bacterial small subunit ribosomal RNA", at positions 1 to 83 of the family's 1533-position model. The record is from RNAcentral. Lineage: Bacteria; Bacillati; Bacillota; Clostridia; Lachnospirales; Lachnospiraceae.